Molecule: ribosomal RNA, 728 nt
Filed under: Dictyostelium discoideum
Lineage: Eukaryota; Evosea; Eumycetozoa; Dictyosteliales; Dictyosteliaceae
Description: eukaryotic LSU rRNA
Rfam family: Eukaryotic large subunit ribosomal RNA
Source: RNAcentral
UCAUCAAGAGUGCAAAAUGGUGGCAAUUCACUAUUAGUGGUUAUUAAUUUUGUUUGCGUGGCUUGGCCUUGUCUACAGGUUAUCUUCGGAUGGCUUGUAGCUUUGUUGAACGCGUGGGCUUAAUGUUGUGAUUCUAGUAGCGUUACCAUAUCGUUAGAGUGGGUUCAAUAAAUGUCCCGUCUUGAAACACGGAUCAAGGAGGCCGUUUUGUGUGCGAGUGUAAGAGUAAUUAAAACUCUGACGCGUAUUGAAAGAAAGAAUACUCCAAAAGAUCGUAACUACGGUUACCUUCUGUAAGGAGUGCCCGAAUCAUGAGAACUCUGUUUCGAAAGGAUUUGCGGUUGAGCACCUAGAAUGGGACCCGAAAGGUUGUGAACUAUGCCUGAGGAAGGCGAAGUCAGGGGAAACUCUGAUGGAGGCUUGUCGCAAUGCUGACGUGCAAAUCGCUUGUCUAACUUGGGUAUAGGGGCGAAAGACUAAUCGAACAACCUAGUAGCUGGUUCCUUCCGAAGUUUCCCUCAGGAUAGCUGGAGCAGUAUUCUAGUUCCAUCUUGUAAAGACAAUGAUUAGCAGUUUCGGGGGCGUAAUGCUCUCAGCUGAUUCUCAAACUCUGAACGGGUGGGUAUCAUUUUAAUUCACUUAAUUGGAUUUUAAAAUUAAAUUGCACAUGUGCAAUGAAAAAUAGGAGCUCUUAGUGGGCCAUUUUUGGUAAGCAGAACUGGCGAUGU